UUCUGCUCUGGGAACUAUGUCUGGAUGUUUUGUUUUUGAACCAUGGCAGAACUCAACAUAUGGACUCUAACUUGUGUUUUUCUUUCCUUCCUGUCUGCAGGGUUAAAGGCUUACAGAAGAGAAGGUCUCGGCUGGUAUGAAGUACCUCCAUCUCGACAGCUGACAGGAAGAGACUCAACAGACUGACAGAGAAGGCCAGCUGUGUCCUGGGGCGCUCUCUUGACCCGCUGGGGUCGUGGUGGGAGAAAGGAGAAUGCUAGCCAAGCUAUCAUCCCUUAUGGUCAACAUGUCCCACCUCAUGCAGGACACUUUGUCAGCACUGGGCAGCUCGUUCAGUGACUGACUGCUUCACCCGCUGUGCUGUCAGACUAUACAUCCAACACUGCUCCCAGUGGACCACACAUACAAAAACUAUGGACAAUCAAACAUCAUUCAUGUGAGGUAUCUGUGUCUGUAUAUACCAACUGUGAAACAUCUACACUUGAUGUGUACAAUAAUGACCAGGCUCCGACUCCUAUAAGAAACUUAGGACUGAAUCAUCCUCAAUUUAAUGAUGAAUGUUUCCCACAAAAAUAUUUUAUUGAACUCCUUACUCAGUGUUCAUGUCUAAUUAUAACAAAAGCCCAAAUGCUAAAAAUACUGUAGGCCUACAAGUUUCUUCUCAUAUGGUGUUUCUUUGGUGUUGGCCUAACUGUAGGUAGGGGAAGCACAGCACAAUAUAAGGUGUCUGUUAGUGAUGAACCUACAGAGAAUUAUGACCUGAAUCUGCAGCUCUCUUUAUCUUUACAGAGCUUUACAGUGAGCUUCAGCUCAUU
Molecule: long non-coding RNA, 815 nt
Organism: Epinephelus fuscoguttatus (brown-marbled grouper)
Lineage: Eukaryota; Metazoa; Chordata; Actinopteri; Perciformes; Serranidae
Exons: 2
Source: RefSeq, a predicted model, not a curated record